GGCUGGAACGCUAAUUACAUUUCAACUUGCUCUAAUAGAAUUUCAAAAAAACAAUUAAAAAAUACGUCCCCUGAAAUCAACACUGGACAGCUGUUAGAAUAGAGUCUUGAGGUAACAAGAAAUCUAUUUAUCCUUUCGCCCGUUUUGAGGGGUGUGUGGAAUUAUACCGGCAGCAGCAACCGUCGCUUAGAAGACAGUCCCAUUUCUUCCCCUGCACGAACCACAAAGUGAAACAGAAGAGGAGUGCUACCUCCACAGAGAACCUUUUGGCCGCUUCAAGCCCACUUUGCUCGGCGGCGAGGGACUCCAGAACGCCUGCGCAGUACCCAGCAGCCGUUGAGCCCGCGCUUCAGAGACUGGUUCUCCCACAUUUCCGGUGUUCCGGCGUGAGGCUUUCGUAGGACUGAUGGCACAGCUGCUCCGGAUGGGAAGCAUUUUGCUUUGGGUUUCGAGUCCUUACUAGCCUACCGCCGUCAUUUUUAUUUCUUCUGGAACUGACACCAGCAAGGCAGAGAAAGGACUCGUCAAACACCCCGGAGAGAUCCCAUUGCGUCCUCCCUGGAUAGGCAACAGUUGUAGAGGCAGUGUACCCCAAGAAGUGAGAGUGGCUCCUCAAAAGUUCCUUCUCCAAAAACUACACUCAGCAUCUCAGCAUCCAGACAUGGGUUUUGACUGUGUCUAUUACCUGGGAUGGUGCAAAACCAGACAUGUGAAAAGCUGAAAACACAAGUGGCACCUCCACCUUCAGGAGCAUUUCAAUAUAAUGAGUGCUGCAAAAGUAUAUCGGAUGGAUGCCAGAUUCUAUAGUGUCAGCAGACUAUGAUUUACAGACAAUGAAAAAUGGGAAGAGAAAGUUAAAAAAUCUGUUUUAAACUAAUUCCUUACUACCAUCGAGGAAAAGAGAAAAAAAAAAUCAAGUUUAAUGUUCACCAAUCACAGCUGAUAAUAUUCCAUAUCUGAACUCUGAAAUUCUUUGUUAUGUUUACAGGAAAUAUAAAAAUCAGAGAAAUGUUAAAAGAUGACCACAAGAAGGAAACAGCAACCAAAUCCAGAAUUUAGAGAAUCCCACACAUUAUUAUAUAUUAUUUCUUCAGAAAAAAAGGAUAUAAAAAAGGGAUAAGGUAACUUAAAAAUUAAAAGCAAAAUAUCAAGCAAAUGUGAAGACUUUGUUCUGAUUGUGAUUCAGACAAAAACUAUAAAGUGCAUUUGUAGUCUCAUGGGAAAAUAUGGGUUAGGUACUAGAUGAGAUCAGGGAAAUGGUGCUGAUUUUGUUAGAUGUUAACAGUGACAAAGUAGUAAUGCUUUUUUUUUUUAUAUAUAAACAGACUUUAUAUGUUAGAGAUACAUAAUGAAUUGUUCAUAGGUAAAAUGGCUUAUCUGGAAUUUGCUUUAAAGUACUUUAAGAAAAGGGGCACCUGGGUGGCUCAGUCCAGUCAGUUAAGCAUCUGCCUUUGGCUCAGGUCAUGAUCUCAUGGUUUGUGGGUUCCAGCCCUGCGUAGAGCUCUGUGUUGACAGUUCAGAGUCUGGAGCCUACUUCAGAUUCUGUGUCCCCUCUCUUUCUGCCCCUGUCCAGUUUGUUCUGUGUCUCCCUGUAAGGGUUAAAUUGUAGUGUAGGGCUA
Molecule: long non-coding RNA, 1619 nt
Organism: Panthera uncia (snow leopard)
Lineage: Eukaryota; Metazoa; Chordata; Mammalia; Carnivora; Felidae
Exons: 5
Source: RefSeq, a predicted model, not a curated record